CCCUUAGAUGUUCUGGGCCGCACGCGCGCUACACUGAUGCAUUCAACGAGCCUAUCCUUGACCGACAGGUCCGGGUAAUCUUUGAAUCUGCAUCGUGACGGGGAUAGAUUAUUGCAAUUAUUAAUCUUCAACGAGGAAUGCCUAGUAGGCGCAAGUCAUCAGCUUGCGUCGAUUACGUCCCUGUGCUUUGUACACACCGCCCGUCGCUCCUACCGAUUGGGUGUGCUGGUGAAAUGUUCGGAUCGGCCGUUUGUCGCGGUUUCCGCGUCAUGUGGCUGAGAAGUUCAUUAAACCCUCCCACCUAGAGGAAGGAGAAGUCGUAACA
Molecule: ribosomal RNA, 325 nt
Filed under: uncultured eukaryote
Lineage: Eukaryota
Description: partial 18S ribosomal RNA
Rfam family: Eukaryotic small subunit ribosomal RNA
Source: RNAcentral